AACGGCCAUACCAUGCUGAAUAUACCGGUUCUCGUUAGAUCACCGAAGUCAAGCAUCAUUGGGCGCGGUCAGUACUUGGGUGGGUGACCACCUGGGAACACCACGUGCUGUUG
RNAcentral lists this ribosomal RNA (113 nucleotides) under Caerostris darwini. The record is from RNAcentral. Lineage: Eukaryota; Metazoa; Arthropoda; Arachnida; Araneae; Araneidae.